GCAAGUCGCGGGGUAACGAUACAGCUUGCUUCUGCUGACGACCGGCGCACGGGUGCGUAACGCGUAUACAAUCUACCUUAUACUGGAGGAUAGCCCUAAGAAAUUGGGAUUAAUACUCCAUAGUAUUAUAUUUUCGCAUGAUUAUAUAAUUAAAGCUCCGGCGGUAUAAGAUGAGUAUGCGUCCUAUUAGUUAGUUGGUGAGGUCAUAGCUCACCAAGACAUCGAUAGGUAGGGGGUCUGAGAGGACUAUC
This 251-nucleotide ribosomal RNA is filed under the name uncultured bacterium. Its description in RNAcentral is "partial 16S ribosomal RNA". It matches the Rfam family "Bacterial small subunit ribosomal RNA", at positions 57 to 305 of the family's 1533-position model. The record is from RNAcentral.